UUUGUGACUUAUACCUUACUGUUGCCUCGGCGCAUGCCGGCCCCCUCGGGGCCCCCUGGAGACA
RNAcentral lists this ribosomal RNA (64 nucleotides) under Phomopsis sp. RNAcentral's name for it is "partial 18S ribosomal RNA". The record is from RNAcentral. Lineage: Eukaryota; Fungi; Ascomycota; Sordariomycetes; Diaporthales; Diaporthaceae.